AAUCAGAGCUGGUUUGCUCGAGAGGAUGUUCAGCGCAUCCUCUGACGCAUCGACAACUUCAGCGGUGGUAAUGUGUUGAAUUUGGCUUAGAUUCCAUCAUCCUAAGACUAUGUCGUUGCCGCUUCACCAUGGUUUGGUUGACAAUGGUGGCUCAAGCACGGUAGCCGGACCUGGAGGAGAUGGUUCAUGGUGGAGCAUCUGCUUCUACCAGAUAGAGUUUGGCAUCCUAUACCUAGAAGCGGUGGAUCCCGGACGGUGCAGCCAGUACCAUAUCAAGCACGGCGGUGGGGGAGGCCAUGACGCCUACCUUGAGCCGGUGGCGGAGAGCACAAUGCCUAGAUUGAGCCGCUCGCAGCACCCCCAUGCCUAGCUCGAGUACUAGCUCGAGCCAACCAUUGCCCCCGACCAAUGUUUGUACUUUCUCUGAGGGCGCCACUUAUUAUCGUGUGCCUAUCACCUGCAGCCGCUGCCUUCGCGCGUAGGAGCAACUUCCUUCGGCGCAUUGUGGUGCCCGGAGGCGGCGACUGGCGGGUGUUUUUUCCAAGUCGUCGGAACAAACAGAAGGGACCUGUGUUGGGAUUAGGAGGUGGCUCUACCGUCGUGGACUUUCGCCUGGGCUCAAGCCUCUAACGCUUAUCCUCCACCAUUUCCAUUUUUUGGAUUGUUGUGUUUUGUCCAAUUAUAAAUCUUUAGUUGUAAGCGUGUAAGCAAAUGCCAAGGUUGAUUAGUGUAGUUCAUUUUUUCCACUUGUGGGAUAGUAAGACAUGGAAAUCUGACCAUUUUCGAAUUUC
This is a long non-coding RNA of Lolium rigidum, 791 nucleotides long. RefSeq lists it as uncharacterized. The transcript has 3 exons. Lineage: Eukaryota; Viridiplantae; Streptophyta; Magnoliopsida; Poales; Poaceae. The record is from RefSeq and is a predicted model, not a curated record.